UAGCUCAGUUGGUAGAGUGCUUGUCUCAUAUACACAAGGCCCUGGGUUCAAUCCCCAG
This 58-nucleotide transfer RNA is filed under the name Ictidomys tridecemlineatus (thirteen-lined ground squirrel). Its description in RNAcentral is "Spermophilus tridecemlineatus (thirteen-lined ground squirrel) tRNA". It matches the Rfam family "tRNA", at positions 8 to 63 of the family's 71-position model. Rfam says of the family: Transfer RNA (tRNA) molecules are approximately 80 nucleotides in length. Their secondary structure includes four short double-helical elements and three loops (D, anti-codon, and T loops). The record is from Rfam by way of RNAcentral. Lineage: Eukaryota; Metazoa; Chordata; Mammalia; Rodentia; Sciuridae.